GCCAUGCCGCGUGCAGGAUGACGGUCCUAUGGAUUGUAAACUGCUUUUGCACAGGAAGAAACAACAUUACGUGUAAUGUCUUGACGGUACUGUGAGAAUAAGGAUCGGCUAACUCCGUGCCAGCAGCCGCGGUAAUACGGAGGAUCCAAGCGUUAUCCGGAAUCAUUGGGUUUAAAGGGUCCGUAGGCGGUUUAGUAAGUCAGUGGUGAAAGCCCAUCGCUCAACGGUGGAACGGCCAUUGAUACUGCUAAACUUGAAUUAUUAGGAAGUAACUAGAAUAUGUAGUGUAGCGGUGAAAUGCUUAGAGAUUACAUGGAAUACCAAUUGCGAAGGCAGGUUACUACUAAUGGAUUGACGCUGAUGGACGAAAGCGUGGGUAGCGAACAGGAUUAGAUACCCUGGUAGUCCACGCCGUAAACGAUGGAUACUAGCUGUUGGGAGCGAUCUCAGUGGCUAAGCGAAAGUGAUAAGUAUCCCACCUGGGGAGUACGUUCGCAAGAAUGAAACUCAAAGGAAUUGACGGGGGCCCGCACAAGCGGUGGAGCAUGUGGUUUAAUUCGAUGAUACGCGAGGAACCUUACCAAGGCUUAAAUGUAGAUUGACCGGUUUGGAAACAGACUUUUC
RNAcentral lists this ribosomal RNA (624 nucleotides) under uncultured bacterium. RNAcentral's name for it is "bacterial SSU rRNA". It matches the Rfam family "Bacterial small subunit ribosomal RNA", at positions 391 to 1016 of the family's 1533-position model. The record is from RNAcentral.